CCCUUAGAUGUUCUGGGCAGCACGCGCGCUACAAUGGUCUUCGCAAACGGAUGCAUUCUCGAAGGAGAAUGCCAAUCUUGGAAUCUAUGCCUUGGUCGGGACAGUUGCUUGCAAUUUUUCGACUCGAACCAGGAAUUCCUUGUAAUCGUGAUUCAUCACAUCACGAUGAAUACGUCCCUGCCCUUUGUACACACCGCCCGUCGCUACUACCGAUCGAAGAGUUAGGUGAAUUGUUUUGAUCGAUAAGAUUUGACUAUGGUCAACUCUCGUUGUGAAAUUCUGUGAAUCUGACUGUUUAGAGGAAGGAAAAGUCGUAACA
Molecule: ribosomal RNA, 319 nt
Filed under: uncultured eukaryote
Lineage: Eukaryota
Description: partial 18S ribosomal RNA
Rfam family: Eukaryotic small subunit ribosomal RNA
Source: RNAcentral